GAAAUGCGAUAAGUAAUGUGAAUUGCAGAAUUCAGUGAAUCAUCGAAUCUUUGAACGCAUCUUGCGUUCCUUGGUAUUCCUUGGAGCAUGCCUGUUUGAGUAUCAUGAAAUCUUCAAAGUAAAUCUUUUGUUAACUCAAUUGGUUUCUACUUUGGUAUUGGAGGUCUUUGCAGCUUCACACCUGCUCCUCUUUGUUCAUUAGCUGGAUCUCAGUGUUAUGCUUGGUUCCACUCGGCGUGAUAAGUUAUCUAUCGCUGAGGACACUGUAAAAGGUGGCCAAGGUAAAUGCAGAUGAACCGCUUCUAAUAGUCCAUUGACUUGGACAAUACUUUUAUGAUCUGAUCUCAAAUCAGGUAGGACUACCCGCUGAACUUAAGC
This 378-nucleotide unclassified non-coding RNA is filed under the name plant metagenome. RNAcentral describes it as "partial contains 5.8S ribosomal RNA, internal transcribed spacer 2, and large subunit ribosomal RNA". The stretch from base 1 to 105 matches the Rfam family "5.8S ribosomal RNA", at positions 50 to 154 of the family's 154-position model. The record is from RNAcentral.